This 253-nucleotide ribosomal RNA is filed under the name uncultured bacterium. RNAcentral describes it as "partial 16S ribosomal RNA". It matches the Rfam family "Bacterial small subunit ribosomal RNA", at positions 524 to 776 of the family's 1533-position model. The record is from RNAcentral.
UACGUAGGGUGCGAGCGUUGUCCGGAAUUAUUGGGCGUAAAGAGCUCGUAGGCGGUCUGUUACGUCGGGAGUGAAAACUCGGGGCUCAACCCCGGAACUGCAUUGGAUACUGCCUUGCUUGAGUACUGGAGAGGGAACUGGAAUUUACGGUGUAGCAGUGAAAUGCGUAGAGAUCGUAAGGAAGGCCAGUGGCGAAGGCGAGUUCCUGGACAGUUACUGACGCUGAGGCACGAAGGCCAGGGGAGCAAACGGG